RNAcentral lists this transfer RNA (73 nucleotides) under Plestiodon obsoletus. RNAcentral's name for it is "tRNA-Asn". Lineage: Eukaryota; Metazoa; Chordata; Lepidosauria; Squamata; Scincidae. The record is from RNAcentral.
CGGAUAGAGGCCCGCUGGUUUGGGUAUUUAGCUGUUAACUAAAAUUUUACGGGAUCGAGGCCCGUCUAUCUAG